This 73-nucleotide transfer RNA is filed under the name Agrilus planipennis (emerald ash borer). It matches the Rfam family "tRNA". From Rfam's summary of the family: Transfer RNA (tRNA) molecules are approximately 80 nucleotides in length. The record is from Rfam by way of RNAcentral. Lineage: Eukaryota; Metazoa; Arthropoda; Insecta; Coleoptera; Buprestidae.
GCUCUCGUAGCUUAAUGAUUAGAGCAUUGGCAUGUAAAGCCAAAGGUGCCGGGUUCAACUCCCGGCGAGAAUG